RNAcentral lists this ribosomal RNA (503 nucleotides) under uncultured bacterium. Its description in RNAcentral is "partial 16S ribosomal RNA". It matches the Rfam family "Bacterial small subunit ribosomal RNA", at positions 30 to 523 of the family's 1533-position model. The record is from RNAcentral.
AUUGAACGCUGGCGGCAGGCUUAACACAUGCAAGUCGAGCGGGGAAGGGUAGCUUGCUACCUAACCUAGCGGCGGACGGGUGAGUAAUGCUUAGGAAUCUGCCAUUUAGUGGGGGACAACAUUCCGAAAGGAAUGCUAAUACCGCAUACGUCCUACGGGAGAAAGCAGGGGAUCACUUGUGACCUUGCGCUAAUAGAUGAGCCUAAGUCGGAUUAGCUAGUUGGUGGGGUAAAGGCGUACCAAGGCGACGAUAUGUAGCGGGUCUGAGAGGAUGAGCCUCCACACUGGGACUGCGACACGGCGCAGAAUCGUACGGGAGGCAGCAGUGGGGAAUAUUGGACAAGGGGGGGAACCCUGAUCCAGCCAUGCCGCGUGUGUGAAGAAGGCCUUAUGGUUGUAAAGCACUUCAAGCGAGGAGGAGGCUACUUUAGUUAAUACCUAGAGAUAGUGGACGUUACUCGCAGAAUAAGCACCGGCUAACUCUGUGCCAGCCGCCGCCGUAA